RNAcentral lists this non-coding RNA (21 nucleotides) under Caenorhabditis elegans. The record is from RNAcentral. Lineage: Eukaryota; Metazoa; Nematoda; Chromadorea; Rhabditida; Rhabditidae.
UACAUGAAUUAUCAGUAUGUG